UUUACAGCCCUGGAGUCUGAAGUGCUGGAUUUAACAGGUACCCCGACAGCCGCUUGCCCCACAUGGCCCCAUCAAUAUCCCUCAACCCUGGAUGUAGAAGGGUAACUUCUAAGAGCGAGUGGGGAGUUCAGUCCUCCGGGCCCUUUCAAUCCCUGGCCUCU
This 161-nucleotide small RNA is filed under the name Chrysemys picta bellii (western painted turtle). RNAcentral's name for it is "TUC338 (ENSCPBG00000011906.1)". The record is from RNAcentral. Lineage: Eukaryota; Metazoa; Chordata; Testudines; Emydidae.